RNAcentral lists this ribosomal RNA (818 nucleotides) under Klebsiella pneumoniae. RNAcentral describes it as "partial 23S ribosomal RNA". It matches the Rfam family "Bacterial large subunit ribosomal RNA", at positions 40 to 902 of the family's 2925-position model. Lineage: Bacteria; Pseudomonadati; Pseudomonadota; Gammaproteobacteria; Enterobacterales; Enterobacteriaceae. The record is from RNAcentral.
UCAGAGGCGAUGAAGGACGUGCUAAUCUGCGAAAAGCGUCGGUAAGGUGAUAUGAACCGUUAUAACCGGCGAUGUCCGAAUGGGGAAACCCAGUGUGAUUCGUCACACUAUCGUUAACUGAAUACAUAGGUUAACGAGGCGAACCGGGGGAACUGAAACAUCUAAGUACCCCGAGGAAAAGAAAUCAACCGAGAUUCCCCCAGUAGCGGCGAGCGAACGGGGAGCAGCCCAGAGUCUGAAUCAGCUUGUGUGUUAGUGGAACGGUCUGGAAAGUCCGACGGUACAGGGUGAUAGUCCCGUACACCAAAAUGCACAGGCUGUGAACUCGAAGAGUAGGGCGGGACACGUGGUAUCCUGUCUGAAUAUGGGGGGACCAUCCUCCAAGGCUAAAUACUCCUGACUGACCGAUAGUGAACCAGUACCGUGAGGGAAAGGCGAAAAGAACCCCGGCGAGGGGAGUGAAAAAGAACCUGAAACCGUGUACGUACAAGCAGUGGGAGCACCUUCGGGUGUGACUGCGUACCUUUUGUAUAAUGGGUCAGCGACUUAUAUUCUGUAGCAAGGUUAACCGUAUAGGGGAGCCGCAGGGAAACCGAGUCUUAACUGGGCGUUAAGUUGCAGGGUAUAGACCCGAAACCCGGUGAUCUAGCCAUGGGCAGGUUGAAGGUUGGGUAACACUAACUGGAGGACCGAACCGACUAAUGUUGAAAAAUUAGCGGAUGACUUGUGGCUGGGGGUGAAAGGCCAAUCAAACCGGGAGAUAGCUGGUUCUCCCCGAAAGCUAUUUAGGUAGCGCCUCGUGAACUCAUCUUCGGGGG